GUAGGUGGCAAGCGUUGUCCGGAAUUAUUGGGCGUAAAGCGCGCGCAGGCGGUUCUUUAAGUCUGAUGUGAAAGCCCACGGCUCAACCGUGGAGGGUCAUUGGAAACUGGAGAACUUGAGUACAGAAGAGGAAAGCGGAAUUCCACGUGUAGCGGUGAAAUGCGUAGAGAUGUGGAGGAACACCAGUGCGAAGGCGGCUUUCUGGUCUGUAACUGACGCUGAGGCGCGAAAGCGUGGGGAGCAAACAGGGAUUAGAUACCCUGGUAGUCCACGCCGUAAACGAUGAGUGCUAAGUGUUAGGGGGUUUCCGCCCCCUUAGUGCUGCAGCUAACGCAUUAAGCACUCCGCCUGGGGAGUACGGCCGCAAGGCUG
RNAcentral lists this ribosomal RNA (372 nucleotides) under uncultured organism. RNAcentral's name for it is "partial 16S ribosomal RNA". It matches the Rfam family "Bacterial small subunit ribosomal RNA", at positions 527 to 896 of the family's 1533-position model. The record is from RNAcentral.